RNAcentral lists this ribosomal RNA (494 nucleotides) under Acrobeloides sp. Sourhope farm. Its description in RNAcentral is "SSU rRNA". It matches the Rfam family "Eukaryotic small subunit ribosomal RNA", at positions 48 to 541 of the family's 1831-position model. Lineage: Eukaryota; Metazoa; Nematoda; Chromadorea; Rhabditida; Cephalobidae. The record is from RNAcentral.
GCCAUGCAUGUCUAAGUAUAAACGAUUUAAUCGUGAAACCGCGAAUGGCUCAUUAUAACAGCUAUAAUUUACUUGAUCUUGACACAAUCCUACUUGGAUAACUGUGGUAAUUCUAGAGCUAAUACAUGCAUUAAAGCUCUGACCUCACGGGAAGAGUGCAUUUAUUAGAACAAAACCAAGCGGCUUCGGCUGUUUCUGGUUGACUCAUAGUAACUGAGCUGAUCGCAUGGUCUUGCACCGGCGACGUGUCUUUCAAGUAUCUGCCGUAUCAACUUUCGAUGGUAGUGUAUCUGACUACCAUGGUGAUCACGCGUAACGGAGAAUAAGGGUUCGGCUCCGGAGAGUUCGCCUGAGAAAUCGCGAACACAUCUAAGGAAGGCAGCAGGCGCGAAAAUUACCCACUCUCAGCACGAGGAGGUAGUGACGAAAAAUAACGAGACCGUUCUCUUAUGAGGCCGGUCAUCGGAAUGGGUACAAUUUAAACCCUAAACGAG